Long non-coding RNA from Scylla paramamosain (green mud crab), 1548 nucleotides. RefSeq lists it as uncharacterized. The record is from RefSeq and is a predicted model, not a curated record. NCBI's taxonomy places the organism in Eukaryota, Metazoa, Arthropoda, Malacostraca, Decapoda, Portunidae. The transcript is spliced from 3 exons.
UUCAUUGUCAGUUUUACAGUUUCUCUCACGUGCAUUUUUUUCGACUUAACAAUCAUGAGAGGUGAUGAAUAGAUAAAAAGAUGUACAGUAAUAAUGAAGAAGGAAUGGGCGUGAAUGUUGCCUGAACGAAUGAAUCAUAGUUGAUCUGAGUUGUAAAUAAUUCCACAAACAAUUAAAAAAAAAAAAACAGUAGCACUCAUUGUUGACGUAACACAAAAGUCAUUUGGAACUUAUUUAACUUGUCUUUUUUUUUCUCUCAAGCAACACACGGCAUUCACAAAUGAAGAAAAAAAAAAUCGUUCUGUGUUGUCUAAAGCAUUAUGUAUCAAGCGUGUACCGAACGGUUUCGAAACGGAACCGAAGCGAUGCGACUCACUCGUAACGGCCUCAGCCCAGUGCAAGGAAGGCCCAGUACUGCCCCCCGGUGUGUAGUAGUGUGGUGUGGUGUGCGUGUGUGGUGGUUGCUGUGUUUUCAGGAACACAUUUUUGUUGUCACGGUGAAACAGGACUUAAGAGAAGACAAGAAUAGGUAUAGGUAGGUGAUAGUAAUGCGAAGAGGAAGACCAAAGAUUAAGUGGAAAGACUGCAUUAAAGAACACAUGAGAGACAGAGGAAUAAGUGAAAGAAUGGCACAAGACAGAAACAACUGGGGAAAACUUAUAAAAGAUACCGAUCCCUAAUAGCGAUUUAAGCUGGGAAGGUGAAGGUGAAACAGGACUGCCGAAGUCAGUCGUUUAAGUCUCCUCCCAGGUGUCCAGCAGGCACGUUGAAAAGGGCACGGCCAGGGACCAAUUACUUUACCCGGCCAGUCAGGAGACACUGCACUUCUCAGGCUUUCGCGAGCAGCAGACGAGGUGAGCAGGAGAAAAAAAUAGCAUCUCAUUAUACUUCUUAAUUGCUUCGUCUAAUUGGGUGGUGUGUGUGUGUGUGAAGUAAUUUAAUGCACUGUGAGAGGACAGGUUGUUGUUCUUGUCGUUUGGCCCUUUUGUGUUGUUACUGGUGUGAGUAAUAGUGGUGGUAGUAGUGGUGGUGGUAAGGGUAAUGGCAGUGGUGUUGUGGCAAGACUAGAAGUGGAAUUGUUGCAGUGACAAGAAAAAUAGUAAACAGAUAUUUAAUGAUACGUGAGGUGCUGCCAUACUACGUGAAACGGUGUCAUGGUGCGUCGUGCGUGUUGGCCCAGGAUAGGAGGUGCCACCCAUCCUAGGCCUCGGCGUGCGGCGCAGGGCGGCCAGCUCCGCCUCCCUCCAGUCUGACGUUCCCAUUCAUAGCUGACCGGUAUCCGCUUAAGGCUGGGUGAACUAUGCAGAGUGACUUCCGCGAUAAAAUGCCAGUAAGCCGCCUAUCUAAUCCUGUAGGAACAAACCCCACAGGUACUGCAAGUCCAACACAAAAUAUCAAAAAAACUAUUCAUCAUUCACCUUUACCUCUCAAUAGGGCUGGUUUGAUUUAAAUAAAAUGAUUUAAAUCGAUUUGAAUCAGAGUAAAAAAUCACGAUUUAAAUAAGAAUUAAAUAUAUUGUAUUCAAAAUUAUUUAAGUGUUACAUUGAG